RNAcentral lists this ribosomal RNA (253 nucleotides) under uncultured bacterium. Its description in RNAcentral is "partial 16S ribosomal RNA". It matches the Rfam family "Bacterial small subunit ribosomal RNA", at positions 524 to 776 of the family's 1533-position model. The record is from RNAcentral.
UACGUAGGCAGCGAGCGUUGUUCGGAAUUACUGGGCGUAAAGAGUGUGUAGGCGGUGUUCCCAGUCUGUUGUGAAAUCUCCCGGCUUAACUGGGAGGGUGCAGCGGAAACUAGAAUGCUAGAGGGUGGGAGAGGUAAGCGGAAUUCCUGGUGUAGCGGUGAAAUGCGUAGAUAUCAGGAGGAACACCUGUGGUGUAGACAGCACUCUGGGACGUGACUGACGCUGAGACGCGAAAGCGUGGGGAGCAAACAGG